GUCUACAACCAUGCCACCCUGAACAAGCCCAAUCCUGUCUGAUCUCGGAAGCUAAGCAGGGUCGGACCUGAUUAGUACUUGGAUGGGAGACCACCUAGGAAGACCAGGUGCUGUAGGCA
This 119-nucleotide ribosomal RNA is filed under the name Pteropus alecto (black flying fox). The record is from RNAcentral. Lineage: Eukaryota; Metazoa; Chordata; Mammalia; Chiroptera; Pteropodidae.